Molecule: long non-coding RNA, 285 nt
Filed under: Homo sapiens (human)
Lineage: Eukaryota; Metazoa; Chordata; Mammalia; Primates; Hominidae
Description: HSALNT0257601
Source: RNAcentral
AUUGAUUCUAACUUAUAAGAGGGACUGAAAUUAUCCAAUAAAAUAAUUGUCAAAACACAAACAUUUUCUAAUGUAUUCUCUAACUCUGAGAAAAGAGACUGGCAUAAUAUCCAGAACAUCAGUGUAUAUAUGAUACUUUUCUGAAUGAUAAAGUGUAAAAAUGUACUAACAUGUACAUUUUUGAGUACAGUAUUUACAUAAUACUGAAUGAGUUGUGUAUAUUUUUCAGAUGAAAAAGACAGCUGUUUAUAUUUUUCAGACAAAAUAAACAUGUUGAGUUAGAAG